GAUGAAGAACGCAGCGAAAUGCGAUAAGUAAUGUGAAUUGCAGAAUUCAGUGAAUCAUCGAAUCUUUGAACGCACAUUGCGCCCCCUGGUAUUCCGGGGGGCAUGCCUGUUCGAGCGUCAUUUCACCACUCAAGCCUCGCUCGGUAUUGGGCAACGCGGUCCGCCGCGUGCCUCAAAUCGGCCGGCUGGGUCUUCUGUCCCCUAAGCGUUGUGGAAACUAUUCGCUAAAGGGUGUUCGGGAGGCUACGCCGUAAAACACCCCCAUUUCUAAGGUUGACCUCGGAUCAGGUAGGGAUACCCGCUGAACUUAAGCAUAUCAAUAAGCGGAGGA
Molecule: unclassified non-coding RNA, 331 nt
Filed under: soil metagenome
Description: partial contains 5.8S ribosomal RNA, internal transcribed spacer 2, and large subunit ribosomal RNA
Rfam family: 5.8S ribosomal RNA (bases 1-120)
Source: RNAcentral